CUCACACACCCUCUUCCUGAACCCCGUCCACGUCCACCCAUCCGGUGAUGUACGCUCAUCUCCCCAUUUAUCCCAAAAUCUGGAUUGCACUUGCAUCUGUACGUACAUACAUAUGAAUAAGCACCAUUGUUCGCUUUAGUCUGGAUGCUUCAGUCUAUAAGCUAUCUGGAUGGCACCUGCAUCUGUUCAUGCAUAAAAUAAGCACCAUACUUCGGCCUAAUUUCUAUGUGUAAAUUUUGUUUAACUUUGACUGAAAAUAUAUACAAGUAAAUAUACAUGAUUGUUUCAUUUAAGCAUGCACAGAUUCUGUUCUGAUUACCUCCACUUUUUUUCACAACAAGCCAGCAAAGCAAAGAUUCAGUGAUGCUUGUUAUGGCCUUUGAAAAUUGUAAUUGUACCUAGUCUUGUAGGUUAAUUAUCUGAAAACACGAAAUUUUAGGGUGGUUCAUAGCUGUUGUUCAGGUCACUUCUUUAUAGGUUAACACUUGUUUCAUCCAUGCAUAUUUGUGCAGGAAGUAUUAUGUAGAACAGAGGAGAAGGGGCACAUGAUAUCAUCCCAGCUUGUUGGCUAACAUGCUCAUUUCAUUAGCUUUGCAAAGAUGUGAGUUAAGUAGCUUUAUACUAUAUAAAGUGUGCUGACCGGAGAUAGUUCUCUUCUCUGGUAGAAAGACAUGGAUGUGUUGCUGUAACACACAGCAAGACGUUGAGUAAACUUUUGCUUUCCUUUCAUUGGACUACAAAUUGACUAUUGUUAAGGUUCUAAUAAGUUUAGACAUACUUGUUAAUUCUGACCAUGCCUUUCUUAAGGACUGUAUUCAUGAAAUUUGUUUGUUGCAUAUGUUCGUACAUGUUCCUAUCUAAUUUAAUGAUGUGUGAAACUUCUGCCAAUCGACAUAGCACAACAAACUUUAGAAGUAGCUUUCUUCCAUCUGCAAAAGCUGAGAUGGAGAAGGAGAGACACACAAGUUUACAAUUGAAUAAGCUGCUUCCUGAGUGAGAGGUAGAUGCACCAGAUUUACCAAUGAAUAAACUGCUCCAUUAGGCACUAUUUUUCUUUUCUUUCCAAGUGACUGCUGCUCUUCUCUAGUGUAGUUCUCCAGGGCUCACCAAUUUUGUUAGACUGAACCUGAUUUGUAUAUUUGUAUGCAGAUUUCUCAACACUCAGAUUUAUGGAGUCUAAGGUUUGACAUUUAGGGGACUAUGGAUCUUUGGCUUUUGGUGUUGAGAUUGAUGUGCCCCUCGCUAUAUGUAAGUGGUGCUUAUGAUGUCGAUCCUUCUGCUAUGGAUUGUAGUUGGGCUUCACUGCCAUCGCAUUAAUACUAUUGAUGGCAGUGUCCCUGCUGUUGAGAAACCCAUUACGUCAGUUUUGGUGGUAUUUUUGCAUUGCCACUUAUCAAUUGUUUUAUUAUUGUUCUUGUCAAAUAGUUGUAUGCUUGAUAAUUGUUGAUGAUAUCUUAUGGUUGGAAAAGAAAUGUAUUUUUGGGCAAAAUGUCCACAUUCUUACAUAGGUCCAUUGUGGUCCCCUUCGUAGCCUGUUGGUUCUAUUUUUAUCAUAUAUCUUUUUUGUUCUAAGUGUUAAUUGUUGAGUGUCAACGACAUGUGGAUAUUGUUCUUCAGGUUAUUAUGGCUGAAACUUGGAUAAAACUAUGGGCAUACAAAAUACAUAUUUGUUUUUGUUGCCUUAUAAACAUGGUUGUGAACGAACUGAAUAUUGGCAAACAUGUAUAUAUCCAUUUUCACUUACUUUGUUGUUUCUGAAAGUGAAAGGGACAAAGGAUAGCGCAGAGAGCAGAGAACACAUGGGGUAUGUUGAAAUUUUUGGUCGAAUUUACAGUCCAUUAGCUGUCAUAAAUAUAUCACAACUAGCAUGCGUACAUCCUCACAACAUUGAUGAAGAUAUGCUUGAUAACUACUCCCUCCGUCCCAUAAUAUAUGAUGUUUUUUGACACUAAGGGAGGGAGUAACUAACAAGAUCUGAUUAUUCGUUUCAUAAACGUUUACAAAAAAUAAGUACGGAAUAAAUUUUUAUAGACUAAAUUUCUAGUUCUUGUGCAAGCUGAUGAGGUUUUCUAUACCUGUAGAAGCCUUGUUCCUACUAUUCUCACCUUGUACACAUAUAUAGCAUUGUUCCUACUAUUGUAACCUUGUAUACAUACAUACUGGUUCAUUUUUUUUGUGAGAAAAGGUUCAUUUGAUUAUUGUUUACUAUUAGAAAUAAUGGUACUAUGCUGGUCAAGUGGGCACAUUGUAUACAUAUAUGCUUUUCUGUCUAUCCUUGAACUAAUACAAAAGAAGCAUGAUCAUUUCAAGCUGCACUUUCCUGAAGAAAACCGACAAACUAUAUCAUAUUUUCUGUUAAUAUUUUCCAUGCCAUUUGAAGUUCGCUUGGCAAGCAAGUAUUGUUUACUAUUUAUCAUCCUUUUGAGAUAUAUGUUCCUUUGGGAGGUGUCUAUUAUGUAGUGUAAUUCUUUGUGUUUUGGAUUCUUUGCAGGUUUGGCAUUUAGUUCGUGUUACUAUUGACCGAGGCUUUUUACCAGGAAUUACUUGGGUCUAAAAAGCUUCCUGGAAGUGGUGGUGUAGUGUUGGAGAUUAAAAUCAUGUAGUUGUGCAGUUUCAAUGAUGUUAUGUUACUUGUUUUUUAUUAAAUGCUUAUGCUUAUAACACCUUGUAAAUAUGCUUGUGAUGUUUUCAUAUUAAUUUUACUUUUUGAAAUCAGACCAGAUUGUUGGAAAUUUCUAUUGUCUUGUUGAAUGAAUAUAAUUGCAUGUCUUGUUGUAAAUUAUGAUGCAUU
Molecule: long non-coding RNA, 2791 nt
Filed under: Hordeum vulgare
Lineage: Eukaryota; Viridiplantae; Streptophyta; Magnoliopsida; Poales; Poaceae
Description: long non-coding RNA (HVUL_LNC014274)
Source: RNAcentral